GACGAACGCUGGCGGCGUGCUUAACACAUGCAAGUCGAACGGAAAGGCCCCUUUGGGGGUACUCGAGUGGCGAACGGGUGAGUAACACGUGAGUAACCUGCCCUUGACUUCGGGAUAACUUCAGGAAACUGGGGCUAAUACCGGAUAGGAAUCCUUGCUGCAUGGUGGGGGUUGGAAAGCUUCGGCGGUUUUGGAUGGACUCGCGGCUUAUCAGCUUGUUGGUGGGGUAGUGGCUUACCAAGGCUUUGACGGGUAGCCGGCCUGAGAGGGCGACCGGCCACAUUGGGACUGAGAUACGGCCCAGACUCCUACGGGAGGCAGCAGUGGGGAAUAUUGCACAAUGGGCGGAAGCCUGAUGCAGCAACGCCGCGUGCGGGAGGACGGCCUUCGGGUUGUAAACCGCGUUCAGCAGGGGCGAAGCUUGUGGUGACGGUACCUGCAGAAGAAGCACCGGCUAACUACGUG
RNAcentral lists this ribosomal RNA (465 nucleotides) under uncultured bacterium. Its description in RNAcentral is "partial 16S ribosomal RNA". It matches the Rfam family "Bacterial small subunit ribosomal RNA", at positions 28 to 507 of the family's 1533-position model. The record is from RNAcentral.